Molecule: long non-coding RNA, 847 nt
Organism: Aedes albopictus (Asian tiger mosquito)
Lineage: Eukaryota; Metazoa; Arthropoda; Insecta; Diptera; Culicidae
Exons: 2
Source: RefSeq, a predicted model, not a curated record
GAAAUCACUAAAACUGAAAUUUUUACCACUGACUUCAAGACUGACUGACUACGCUUAAUGAAGAACACGUGAAGAUUCAAUUGAAGGAACUGAAGGUCAUCCCAGUGAUUUUAUUGAAUCCCCUAAAUCGUCCACAAGCAAACAAUCACCGAGGCCUAUUGGUCAAAAACAAGCUAAAGCGGCUAAACGUGUCGAGGAACAUCAAUCUGCCAUGAGUGAUGUUCUUGAAGAACUGAAGAUGAAAAACCGUGCCCUGCAAAGAUUCACGGAUGCGUUACAAAGAGCAUCGGACAUAAAAAUAAUGACAACUUCGUUCGAGGGAUUGGAUGAAACAUCCAAACAACUUCUGAUUCGAGAAAAGGAGCAACUACAAGCACGGUUGCAAAAUAAUGUUGAGAGCGAGCCUGAUGAUGAAGAACGUAUUACUCUUCGACCGUUGGUCGAUCUAGAUGACAGCGACGGGAAAGAUAUUGAAAACGAUGUAAUUCAAUCAGUUGAUCCACUGGCGUGUGUUAUUGGUGACGAAGAAGGUGUAUGUGACGUUGAAUAUCUUAAUGAAUACCAACCUGAACAUUAAAUGUGUAUGCAUGCUGCAUAAACGAUUGCAAAGCAAUUCAUCACUGUCAUAAUGUCUAUGUAAUAAACCACACAAUUAAUGAUAGAUUUGGGACUACAAAAGUAAGUUUUACAGUAUGCAUACAAAAUCUUUGUUUUAUCUGAGUUCUGUAUUUUUAAAAUAUGUAUUAAGCAAAUGCUUUUUUUUACUAUAACGAAUAAACAAUCAGAGAUUAAAAAACGAAUCACAAUCUAAGUCACGUUAGUGCUAAUAAAAACUAAAUUAAGGAGA